GGCGGCAUGGCCAAGUGGUAAGGCGGGGGACUGCAAAUCCUUUAUCCCCAGUUCGAAUCUGGGUGUCGCCUAAUCAACAAA
This 81-nucleotide transfer RNA is filed under the name Cymbidium lowianum. RNAcentral describes it as "tRNA-Cys". The stretch from base 1 to 71 matches the Rfam family "tRNA". From Rfam's summary of the family: Transfer RNA (tRNA) molecules are approximately 80 nucleotides in length. Their secondary structure includes four short double-helical elements and three loops (D, anti-codon, and T loops). Further hydrogen bonds mediate the characteristic L-shaped molecular structure. tRNAs have two regions of fundamental functional importance: the anti-codon, which is responsible for specific mRNA codon recognition, and the 3' end, to which the tRNAs corresponding amino acid is attached (by aminoacyl-tRNA synthetases). tRNAs cope with the degeneracy of the genetic code in two manners: having more than one tRNA (with a specific anti-codon) for a particular amino acid; and 'wobble' base-pairing, i.e. permitting non-standard base-pairing at the 3rd anti-codon position. RNAcentral also lists the same sequence under 8 other names. Lineage: Eukaryota; Viridiplantae; Streptophyta; Magnoliopsida; Asparagales; Orchidaceae. The record is from RNAcentral.